GACAGAGGGGGCAAGCGUUGCUCGGAAUCACUGGGCGUAAAGGGCGCGUAGGCGGGAUGGCAAGUCAGUCGUGAAAUCUCUCGGCUCAACCGAGAAGCGUCGGCUGAUACUGCCGUUCUUGAGGGAUGCAGAGGAGACUGGAAUUCCCGGUGUAGCGGUGGAAUGUGUAGAGAUCGGGAGGAACACCGGUGGCGAAGGCGACUUCCUGGCCUGUUCUUGACGCUGAGGCGCGAAAGCUAGGGUAGCAAACGGG
RNAcentral lists this ribosomal RNA (253 nucleotides) under uncultured bacterium. Its description in RNAcentral is "partial 16S ribosomal RNA". It matches the Rfam family "Bacterial small subunit ribosomal RNA", at positions 524 to 776 of the family's 1533-position model. The record is from RNAcentral.